UUAUAAUAUAGAAUUUAAUUUUUUAUUUAAAAAGUUAAAAUAUAUUAAAAAGACGAGAAGACCCUAUAGAGUUUUAUAGUUAAAUUUAAUUAGGGUUAUUUAUAUUAUUAAAAUUAAAAUUAAUUUAAUUAUUAUAUUGGGGUGAUAGAAAAAUAUAAAAAACUUUUUAUAUAUGUUAAACCAUUAAUAAGUGAUUAAAUGAUCCAAUAUUAUUGAUUAUAAGAAAAAGUUACCUUAGGGAUAACAGCGUAAUUUUUUUUUUUAGUUCAUAUAAGAAAAAGAGUUUGCGACCUCGAUGUUGGAUUAAGAUAAAAUUUAAAUGUAGAAG
Molecule: ribosomal RNA, 328 nt
Filed under: Sesamia sp. SEOUG3699
Lineage: Eukaryota; Metazoa; Arthropoda; Insecta; Lepidoptera; Noctuidae
Description: partial 16S large subunit ribosomal RNA
Source: RNAcentral